This 301-nucleotide ribosomal RNA is filed under the name uncultured bacterium. Its description in RNAcentral is "partial 16S ribosomal RNA". It matches the Rfam family "Bacterial small subunit ribosomal RNA", at positions 509 to 808 of the family's 1533-position model. The record is from RNAcentral.
CAGCAGCCGCGGUAAUACAGAGGGUGCGAGCGUUAAUCGGAUUUACUGGGCGUAAAGCGUGCGUAGGCGGCUUUUUAAGUCGGAUGUGAAAUCCCUGAGCUUAACUUAGGAAUUGCAUUCGAUACUGGGAAGCUAGAGUGUGGGAGAGGAUGGUAGAAUUCCAGGUGUAGCGGUGAAAUGCGUAGAGAUCUGGAGGAAUACCGAUGGCGAAGGCAGCCAUCUGGCCUAACACUGACGCUGAGGUACGAAAGCAUGGGGAGCAAACAGGAUUAGAUACCCGCGUAGUCCCUGUCUCUAUACA